Diceros bicornis minor is the source of this 722-nucleotide long non-coding RNA. RefSeq lists it as uncharacterized. Lineage: Eukaryota; Metazoa; Chordata; Mammalia; Perissodactyla; Rhinocerotidae. The transcript is spliced from 3 exons. The record is from RefSeq and is a predicted model, not a curated record.
CGCGAGCUGUUUGUGUUGUGUUUUCCACCGCCGCCCCCCUCCCCGCGAGCCCUUCCUCGCAGCCCUCCGGUCCCCCCGCUCAGACAAAACCCGGACUGGAUUUGUUUCCCCUACCCACGGCCUCCGAAAAUCGGGCGCUUCGGAGCAGCUGGCCCAGACGCCGGGCACACGCUCACCCGCGGCUGAUCAUUCCCUUCGGGGGGAGGAGGGCAGACUUCGCUGGAAGUAAGCUUGUCGGUCCAAGUCCGACUUGGAAGGAAGAGAUUUGCCGCAAGUCAUUUUAAUGGUCUCUGUGGUGCAGGGCGACUACUCGAGCUUGUGUGAAAUCGAGGAAAGUGCACCAACCCGAGAUUUGGGGUCAGCUCCUAAUAGGAAUCAUCAGACUCAUUUGGAUUUUUGAAAUACUGUUUCAUGACAUUGCCUGCCAAUCUCGCAGUCUCUCUGCACACAGCAUUCUAGGCCCUGCCUCUUGAGCUGUCUUGCCACUGUGUUAAGUCUGCCACCUCGGCAGAGCCCCUGCACAUCCGUUCCUGGCCCCACUGGGCCCCAGAGGCCGCCCUCUGGAUGGGAGAAAGAGACUGGCCUUGGUGUUGGGACCAUUAAUGUCACAAACAGGUUUGGACCAAGGAAUUGGAUGGAGUGUAACGUGAAAUUUGAAUGAAAACUUGCCUCAGCGAGCGUUUCCAGCGUUGCAGUGGACUCCAUGCUCUCCCCCUGGUAGG